UUCUAUGGCGGUUCAGGCAGGGGAGGCUUCGGCCUCGCCGGAUUGGUUGAUCUCCGGUAUUGCGAACCCUGCCUUGAAUCGCCACCAUC
Molecule: non-coding RNA, 89 nt
Filed under: Xenorhabdus eapokensis
Lineage: Bacteria; Pseudomonadati; Pseudomonadota; Gammaproteobacteria; Enterobacterales; Morganellaceae
Source: RNAcentral